This 490-nucleotide ribosomal RNA is filed under the name uncultured bacterium. RNAcentral's name for it is "partial 16S ribosomal RNA". It matches the Rfam family "Bacterial small subunit ribosomal RNA", at positions 30 to 507 of the family's 1533-position model. The record is from RNAcentral.
AUUGAACGCUGGCGGCAGGCCUAACACAUGCAAGUCGAACGGGAACAGGAAGCAGCUUGCUGCUUUGCUGACGAGUGGCGGACGGGUGAGUAAUGUCUGGGAAACUGCCUGAUGGAGGGGGAUAACUACUGGAAACGGUAGCUAAUACCGCAUAACGUCGCAAGACCAAAGAGGGGGACCUUCGGGCCUCUUGCCAUCGGAUGUGCCCAGAUGGGAUUAGCUAGUAGGUGGGGUAACGGCUCACCUAGGCGACGAUCCCUAGCUGGUCUGAGAGGAUGACCAGCCACACUGUAACUGAGACACGGCACAGACUCCUACGGGAGGCAGCAGCGGGGAAUAUUGCACAAUGGGCGCAAGCCUGAUGUAGCCAUGCCGCGUGUAUGCAGAAGGCCUUCGGGUUGUAAAGUACUUUCAGCGGGGAGGAAGGGAGUAAAGUUAAUACCUUUGCUCAUUGACGUUACCCGCAGAAGAAGCACCGGCUAACUCCGUG